ACCGUGUGAUAGAUCGAUCGAUCCUAGAGGCGGAGGACGCGGCGGAGGCUGUCGGCGGCGGCCGCCUCGGCGUUGCAUGACGGGGCGGGCGGCGGAGGCGGCACCACCUUGUUGCCGGCGGCGGGGGACGACGACGACGACGUGAUCACGAACCUGGGCAGCGGCAGGCUGCUCGGCGGCGGCGCGAGCACGUGCAGCAGGUCCUGGACGAAGUUGCGGGCCACCUCCUGCUCCAGGUCGUCCAGGGCCUCCGCCACCGCCGGCGCCGGCGGCAGCGGCGUUGCCCGCUCCAGCGGCUUCUUCUUCUGUGUUCCUCCCUUCGUCGUCUCCGUCGACGGCGGCGGCCUCGACGGCUUCCUCCUCCUGUCCCUCUGGCGCGUCGACGGAGUACUAGCUCUGCCGCUGCGCGGCGGCUGCUGCGGCGGAGGCGGGUACGGGAAAGUGGCGUACUUGGUGGCGGCGGGUGGGAGCGGCAGGAGAGGUGGCUGGUUGGACGGCAGGAGAGGCAGAGACGGCGACGAGUACAGCGGAGGCCUCGCGUACGGGAGCGCGGGUAGUGAUGCAUGGCUCCACGCGCCACCUUUGUAUUGCUGGCGUGGCGCCAUCGCCGGCGUCGCGCCGCCGCCGAGGUGCCCCGGCCGGAAUCCGCCGCCUCUCCUCGGGAACUCGAAGCUCCCGGAAGACCGGCGAUCCAGAAGAACGUUGUCCAUGAUGAUCUCUAGGAGGAGACGAAAAGUAAUUCGAAUUUCUCGCUCAGAUCGUCGAUCUAAGGCGUUUUUCCACAAAAGGAAAUAUGGAGCCUUGAUGGGAUUUCCAAAGAGAGAAGGAAAAGAUCAAGGGGACGAUAUGAUCAAAGCUCGAAAUUAAAUUAUAUCGAACUUGUGUCUGUGUAUCAGUUUUUGCAUGAAAUUUGCAAGAAGUAAUUAAUUAACUAGAUCCUUGGGAUUAAAAACAACAAGGAUGCUAGCUAACUAUAUAUAUGAUCGAUCGGUUUCGAUCAAG
RNAcentral lists this small RNA (1002 nucleotides) under Oryza sativa Japonica Group (Japanese rice). RNAcentral's name for it is "sRNA Os03g0242350". Lineage: Eukaryota; Viridiplantae; Streptophyta; Magnoliopsida; Poales; Poaceae. The record is from RNAcentral.